Long non-coding RNA from Dreissena polymorpha, 632 nucleotides. RefSeq lists it as uncharacterized. The transcript is spliced from 4 exons. NCBI's taxonomy places the organism in Eukaryota, Metazoa, Mollusca, Bivalvia, Myida, Dreissenidae. The record is from RefSeq and is a predicted model, not a curated record.
GGACGUGAUCAAUCGGUAAAGGAAACGAUUCAACAGAUCGAAGAAUACAUUAAACAGCGCAAUGGAAACUGCAUUCAUGCAAACGAGUUGAAAGAUAUUGCGUUAAUAUUACAAAAUGCGAUUCUAGGCGAUUACACUGGAAUUCAAAGGGACGUGUCAUUUACAGAAGGAGAGGUAAACAGGACUACACAAAGGCAGACAAGUACGGCGUGUACACUGCUGUAAACUUUGCUUAUCAUACGAUAAUCCCAUGGGCAAAUGUCGAUGAAUUAAAUGAUCAGUGACGAUUUUUCACUUUUUUAUCCAGCAGAGCAAAUACAUUAAGAUUGUUUGAAAACACUUAAACGUGUCAGAAGAAUAAAGGAAAAACAUGCCAAAAUUUACAGACUGUGAAAGGUUAUAUAAAUGUUUGUGAUAUUUGUACUGUGAUAUAUAUGUAUAUUUAUUUGUUUGAAAAAUACUUGAGUUUCUGAAUUAAUGAUUUCCAUUGCGUCAUGUUUUUUUUUAAGUAAGAUAACUGUCAUUUCCGAUUGUUAGUAUUGUCAAGCGACUGCAAUCCAUUUUGAUCGAAAAAAAGAGUAAAUAAAUUGAAAAUCACUUUUUACAAAACAUAAUAUGAUUCAAUACAUGUC